Molecule: long non-coding RNA, 314 nt
Filed under: Cucumis sativus (cucumber)
Lineage: Eukaryota; Viridiplantae; Streptophyta; Magnoliopsida; Cucurbitales; Cucurbitaceae
Description: long non-coding RNA (CSAT_LNC000946)
Source: RNAcentral
UCCACUUGAGCCUUCCGGAGGAGUCCUCCGGUGCUGCCCGCGAAGAUCGGGGACGGGGUGCUGGGGUCGAGCUCGGGUGGGGAGAAUCCGGCCGGAGCCUCGACAGAAGUCUCGGCUUCGGCGGAGACCUUGAAAGAGCGGGAAGAGGAGGCGGCCUUGAGGUGGGGCUUGGAGGUGAGGAAGGAGAGAGUUGAGGAUUGCUUCCAUGGAAUGGAAAUGCCGGUGGAUUUGGGAGUGGAGAGAGAUGGGGUGAAGAGGGUGGCUUGAGUGGCCAUGGCCAUGGGAUUUGGAGCAGAGGAAGAGGAUUGGGAAUG